This 621-nucleotide ribosomal RNA is filed under the name Triticum aestivum (bread wheat). RNAcentral describes it as "partial small subunit ribosomal RNA". Lineage: Eukaryota; Viridiplantae; Streptophyta; Magnoliopsida; Poales; Poaceae. The record is from RNAcentral.
AUGGUUGUGAAGGGAGACCAGAACACUGCAUUCUUCCAUAGCAAUGGAAAGAAAAGAAAGAAUACCAUCCACUCCUUUUCGUGUGGUGACACUGUGAUUGAAGGGACAGAUGAUUUGCUCAGACAUGCUACAGAUUACUAUAAAGAACUCUUCGGGCCAGCCCCGGGAAACAUUUUCCAUUUAGACCCUGACACUUAGGGGCAGGAUGAAAAACUAAUAGCUGAGGAAAAUGAGUUUUUAACCAGACCUUUUAGUGAAGAAGAAGUUAAGAAGGCCUUAUUCUCCAUGAAAAGCAAUAGAGCACCUGGCCCCGACAACAUUCCAGCAGAAUUCUAUCGACUCUGCUGGGAUAUUGUCAAACAGCAUAUUAUGAACCAGUUUGUUGCAUUUCAUGAAGGCUCCCUAGACGUUGAAAGACUGAAUUAUGGGGUGAUCACCCUAAUUCCAAAGGUCAAUGGGGCCAAAAAAUCCAAGAAUUCCGGCCAAUCUGUUUGUUGCGGUGCCCUUACAAGCUCAUUACCAAAGUGUUGGAUAAUCGAGUGGCGAUGUUUGCUGAUAAGCUCAUCAGCCGGCACCAAAACGCUUUUAUCAAAAAACGGAACAUUAUGGAUGGAAUACUAA